Long non-coding RNA from Stomoxys calcitrans (stable fly), 531 nucleotides. RefSeq lists it as uncharacterized. The transcript has 2 exons. Lineage: Eukaryota; Metazoa; Arthropoda; Insecta; Diptera; Muscidae. The record is from RefSeq and is a predicted model, not a curated record.
GUGGACUUUGCUGUGUCCGCGGAUGUGAACCCCUGAUGGUGGUGAUAUUCCUGGCAUUCGUUAGACUUCUCCAUUCUCCUGGGUUUCCUUUUUUUUGCAUUUGAAUAGAAAGAAUUAUGGCCUAUUGUUAAUAAUUUAGAAUACAAACGAAGCGAGGAAUAUCCUGCUGUCAAAGUAAUCAACAUUGCCAGCUGUUUUCCAAAAGGAUGAUGGCCAUGGGUACUAUAAGAGGUCAUGGUUAGAAAUAAGGUAUUAUUCAAAAUUUCAUUUCAUGGGCACCCAGAAAGCUGAGUUGGUAGUGCAGGGGUCGUGGGUUCGUUUCCCGCCAGAAGCUUUGGUCUGUCGCUACUGUGGUAUCACAAUGGACUUAAAAUUGUCUGAGUGAGUCUGUAAAUUACUGCCACUCUCACCUAACCUAACCUUCAUCGAGAAUUCAUCUAAAUGUCAGCUGUAUUUCCUAAACUCAACACAAAAAAAUUUCAACAAAAAUUCACACAAAAAUAAAAUUUUACACUUUGACUAUGUGCCAUA